Aphis gossypii (cotton aphid) is the source of this 450-nucleotide long non-coding RNA. RefSeq lists it as uncharacterized. Lineage: Eukaryota; Metazoa; Arthropoda; Insecta; Hemiptera; Aphididae. The record is from RefSeq and is a predicted model, not a curated record. The transcript has 3 exons.
UAACUACUAAGCGCUCUAUCGGCCAACUUGCAACAACCAACAACGAGCACUAGUUACAAUCACGCCACUACGCCGCUCCACAUUAAGCGAUUGUAGGAAGUGUAUAAAAGGAAGUACUGGUAUUCCAUUGAGGCAUAACGCAAUUUUUGUGCAAAUUUAAUCACCACUUACACUUCGUUCCACGAAAACAAAACCAAAAACCAAAAAUGGGCGCUGAAAAAGUAACCAUGAACAUCGUUGUCGUCGGACAAGUCCAAUCUGCCAAGGCCAUCAAAUCGGUCGCCAAAGCCGCCCCAGCCACCAGCCAAUUGAUGAACUGUUAACUCACGAAUUCCACAUGCAUCUCAAACUCAAAAAUGCUAUAGACAAAACAGUACAUAGUUUUAUAGUUUGUUGAUAAUUAUAAUAUUAUGUAUUGACAUUGCAAAAUAAAUCAGUCUUUUCCGUCAA